CUGCUGACAUGAGUGUUGCAUAUUCCUUAAUUUGGGUGCAUUGGUUUCUGCACUUAGUCUUCCUGUUUUAAAGAUUCGUAAAUCCUUGUUCUACUGAAAAAUUUAUUCACAGCUUUGACUCUUCUGGAAUAUCCUGAAUUUCCCUAAGGCUGAAUACAAUGCAACAUUUGGACCAAAGUCACACGAGGCCACGUAUUGUAUAAGCAACCUUCUACUUUUGAAAUAUGUACUUAAAAACUGCCACUGGCAGUUGUGAUCAAGAACAAA
Pantherophis guttatus is the source of this 267-nucleotide long non-coding RNA. RefSeq lists it as uncharacterized. NCBI's taxonomy places the organism in Eukaryota, Metazoa, Chordata, Lepidosauria, Squamata, Colubridae. The record is from RefSeq and is a predicted model, not a curated record.